Acinonyx jubatus (cheetah) is the source of this 5468-nucleotide long non-coding RNA. RefSeq lists it as uncharacterized. NCBI's taxonomy places the organism in Eukaryota, Metazoa, Chordata, Mammalia, Carnivora, Felidae. The record is from RefSeq and is a predicted model, not a curated record. The transcript is spliced from 3 exons.
GUGAGUUCCAGCCCCGAAUUAGGCUCUGUACUGACAGCUCAGAGCCUGGAGCCUGCUUUUGGAUUCAGUGUCUCCCUCUCUGGCCCUUCCUUGCUCAUGUUCUGUCUGUCUCUCCCUCUCAAAAAUAAAUAAACAUUAAAAAAAAUGUAAAAAAAGAGACUAUUGAGACAUGGCCAUUAAAAGCAGCCUGAGAAUGUUAAGACAACUGUUUCUUUGAUCCCUAUGACACUGUCCUAAGUAGCCAAAUAUCAAUGACUUCAUUUGGUUCAACCUAAAUAGACUAAUGUAUUGAUGUGAAAAUUGCUUGAAUCUGAUAAUUGUAAUGUGAUUAUUUAGGAGAGUACUUGUUCUUAGAGAUGUAAGCUGAAGUAUUUAGGAGAGAGAGGAACAAAUGAAUGUGGUCAACUGCCAAAAACUGGUGUAGGUAGGUGAAACGUGUACGAAUAUUCAUGAUGAUAUUCCUGAAACUUUUCAAAAUAAAACACUGGAAAAAAUCAGCAUUCAACGCAGUUCACCCCUGUGAGCAGGACAGAAUCUCACUCCCUCCUGGGAAAGCUUCAGGAUCAGCAUGGAAAGCCACCCUGGCAAUGCAGGCAUGGGGCACUUGGAAGAGUGGCUGUUGAACAGGGCCUUGCCCCCCACCCUGCGCUCAGGGCUGUCACCCACCUGGGUUUCCAGUUCUGUGACCUCCAGGUUCAGUUUAUUCAGGUGCUUGUUCACAAAAGUGAUGAGUGUCUAAAAGAGAAGCACAAGCCAGGCAUUGAGAUGGAGACUCUCCAGUGCCAGACCUGGUGGCCACCUGUGUGACCCUAUUGUGAGGACGAGGACCAGUGUAAUAACCUAGGACAAGGCCCAGCUAAGGGUGCUGCGCCAGGGAUCACUGCUCAGCCGGGUGAGAAUAAGCAGCCUAUGAGGCUUUUCUGCAAAGCUCCUUGAGUUCGCAGGAAAGGACGGCCCCCAGGAUUUGUGGUCUCCUGCACUGUGGGAUUCAAAUAGCCAGUCUCAGGAAUGUGAAAGGGGCAGGGGGUCCCAAGAGGGCAGAAUGAUAGGUGCAAUGUUCCAGCUCAGAGUUGGGGGGGGUGCCAGAGAAGAAGUGACCUCACCGGGUCCCUCCUUCAGACCGUCCUAGGGGCAGGUGCCCUGUGCCUGGGGAGGAGGGAGGGAUGAGUGAGGAGGCCCGGUUGGUUGGGGGUUCAGUGUGGAUGGGAAGACAGGGUGCUUGUAGCUUCAGAACCCCCAGGAGACACUGUCAUCCUGAUGGGAGAAGGGAGUGGGUAAGGUAUCCAGUGGGAACGGGACGGGUAAAGUGUACAUCAGGUGGGAAAAGCCCCGAGUUUGCCGAGAGCUGGCGAGGACACCAGUUUGAAGAAGCUUGCAAGCUGCAUGCGUGUGUUCUACUGUUUGGUGCAGCUCGCCCCCCUCCCUCCCAGGCACCUCUUGCUCACCUUUUUCACUACAUUGAGCUUGUCUGGUGCAUGGUCAAACAAGGUGUCAAAGGCAUCACGUUCUGGAAACACAGGAAAAUGUCAAAUGCAGCAAAGACCUGCUUCCUGGUGGGGAAGCCCACCCCAGGGCUCGGCCAAGAUGGCCACCAGGUCAGAUAUAGGCAGGAAUUCUUUGGUGCAUGAAACUGUGCUGGGAACUCUGGAAACUGGGUUUGGGUAGGUUUUGGGGAUUGAUUCUUAGCUUAGGGGCUUUCUCUGUUUCUCUGUGUCUAUUCUCUAGGUCAUGCCUCUUUUAGGCUGGGAGUGGGGGGCUCUGUUAAGCUGUGGAAUCCCAGAUUGACUUGGGAUUUCUCUUCACUAUUUAUAUCCAUUACAUCAUGACUUAGUUAUGGGCCUAAAGGGUUUCUGAAGCUUUUUGGAGGUAGAAUGUUAUCCAAAUCUCAAAUCACCUCACCUGCUAAUUUUCAAAUCCAGGAUACCCAUGACAAACAUCCGUGCACGGAUAACCGGAUUGGGAGACUGGGAGCCCCGGGAUAGAAUGUGUGGUCUUCCUUUUGAGUGAUCUAGUCACUUCGACCCUUGUGCCUCAGUUUCCUCUUCUAUAAAAUGCCGUCUGAAAAACCUUUCCCAGGUGUGUGGUGAGGACGAAAGAGAAGAAGGCAUGUGCAUGCGUUCUGUAAACUCUGAAGUGUGUGCUGAUCUGAGUUUGUUAGCAGGACUGGGAUAUUUCUCACAUUAUCCAUAGUAUAUACAGGAUCAUUGAAAAUGGCAAAGCCAUGCCCCUUGCCGGGGUUUUUCUUGCUAUAGCCCCCAGAUUCUCUAAACUGAGACGUAAAAUAGAGGAUAGGAUCUGAGGCAGGGGAUGAGAAGAAUGUCCAGGAGGGACCCAGGGCUGGGAAGUUUGGUGGUCCCGGGGUCUGCCUUUUCCUGCUCUUGCACUGAUGAAUAAAUCUGGGACCGCCAGAAGGGUGACUGAGGUCUCUAACGUUCAGACGGUAUAAACAAACCCAAAGUUCUGGGAAACUGGAGCGGGAUGACGUGUGAUGAGGAAAGAGGGAGAAGACUGCCUCUAGAAGGGCUGGACUGAGCGGGGACAGUGGACUUUCCCAAGCGUGUACAUACACCUCUUUACUUCCACAACAAACUUAGAGCAUGACCGCCCUGAAAAUGCCCAGGACCCAUCCAGGGCCUGGCAACGUCAGUGCUCUGGCUACUUACAAGAGGACUGGGCAGCCGUGGUUAGAUUUCCCCUUCCCACCGGUAAGCCGACCCUCCCUACCAAGUGGCCCUGUCACCGGGCUGGUGCAGACACACACGCAGGAAGUAAGCUGAGUGCCUGUUCUUCCCAGCUGCUGCAGAAUUAACUAGAAACCCCGUGGCAGCCACCAGCACCAGAGGAUAAUCUUAUGCAACUCACCGUGCCUUCCGGAAAGAGCCCUGCAGGAAAAGGAGAAAGGAUACAGCAUGAUUCUUCUUCUUUGCCCUUCACUGAAGAGCCCACAAAGCUUCCUUCCUUGGCACUUUCUUCUGCACUAAGUCUCCAAUUAUUGGUAGUCCUUACCCUACUGCCACCUGUUUUUCCCUCUGCCAUACAGAUAGACUGGUGUUUGCACAAAGCCUGGUGUAAGUGAUAUUUAAAGGACUAUUUCUUGCCUUAAGUAAAAUCACACUGUUGCUUAUAGUUGAGAAGGAAUAUCGGACUCGGGGCUUCAACACUCCCAACCACUGCACUGCAUCAGCUUGGGGAUGUCAGCUUUGCCUUUCUCUAGUUCAUCCUGUGAUUCCCACCAAAUCGCACCUGCCAUUGACUCAGAAUCAGUUUCUCAAAUAGGGCAGGAAAUAGAACCAUACUCUUACCAACGAAGCCUCAAAGUACUAACGGCACAAGCAUUAAAACAGACUACUUAGGUCUGAAUCCCAGAGACGCUGUGUGACCUUGGGCAAGCUACGGAGCCUCUCUGGGCUCCCGGUCUCUUCUCUCUAAAAGGAGGAUGAUAAUGGUAAAUACUCCAGUAGGAUGUUCGGAGCAUUAAAUGACUUAAUAUGGAGCAAGACUUUAGCAUAAUUCCUAGUAUAUAGUAAGUGCUCAGUUCGUUUUUUUCGGAAUACGUUUUUGGUUCCUAUUGUAUCGGUUUAUUCCAACUGUGCAUCUAUCACCUACUAGAUGAUGACCUGUGGGUAAUGUACUGGAAGGGAUAAUGAACUUGGGAGUUAGGUGUUGGAUAGACCAAGGACAGUUGCUUCUUCACCUUUGGGAUAUGUGGCUUUAGGAGGGGUGAGCGUUGCUUUGUGUAUUUUGAAUAUCAAUAGAUACGAAAGUGCUUCAUAAAGUGUUCUGUGUUGCUGUUAUUAGGAGUUCACAUCCACCCUCAUGUCUAUGUGGCAAGAUGGCAGAGGGAGACCACAGGAGGCCUGGCGUGCAGCCGACAGAGCACUGCAAACCCAAACGUCAUGUCCCCUGACUCCUCUCAGGUUCUGAGUCCUUGCCUCAUGAGGUCAUCAACCUCGUUUCCUGGAUUCCAGAUGCAUUUCCUGCUCCUGAGGUGUGACCUGGCACAUCUGGACUCCUUGAGACAUUGAUGAAGUGCCAGGCAACAUGCAGGAGGCAAACUGCUAGAACUGGAGGAGACUGGAUCGAUGAGGAAGAUACGGUGUUCCUGCUCUUGGGAAGCCACAGACAUUUCCAUAAACAGCUACAAACAACUUGGAACGUCAUAUAAUAAAGGCAUGUGUGUUAUGUACAUUUAUGUAUGUAUGUGUGUGUGUAUCCGGGGGAACCCAGAAGAGCGCGUGACAAUCACGUCUAGAUGUGAUCCUGUUGUCAGAGGUGCGAGAGGCAGGCGUGUUCUAUGGACCUUAGAGACUGAAAGAUGAACAGUGAGGCUGAAAAGACAGAGGGGGGUCGCAUGAGGGUCUGUGUGAAUGCAGUGCUGCUGGGCCUGACUGGCCCAGUCCCCCCCCCCCCCCCCCCACCGCCCCAACCCUGGCAGGGGAGAGCAAGACUAGACUUGCGUUUUGAGAAGGCCUCCUCUGCUGGCGGCCCAGGAAUGGGCUGGAGGCAGAGAGAGGCAGAAGGCAGGUGAGGUCGGAGGCUGUCUCGACAGCUCAGACCAGUGAAAACCGCAGGGAGAGUGGCUGCAGGAGACCAUGUGAGCAAGAAGAAAGGAGCCCUGGAGGCCCCACACAUACGCGGGGCGUGGCGGGGAAGAGGGGAAGGCGGUUAACUCAGAGCGCAAGAAACCUCUUUGGAAAAGUGGAUGAGCUCAGCGUGAGGGGCACACAGGGGGAGGGGCUGAGUGGGCAGCUAGGAAUGGAAGUCUAGAACUUGGGGCAGAGGUUUGGACUAGAGACAAUGGGGAGCAGCUGAGGCAAAGUCCAAAUUCUUUCAGGUUGAAUUUGUCAUUUCAAUACUAGAUCACCCCUGAAUUCUCCUUUUCCUCCCCGGGGGCCUAUUUUCACAGGAACACACCUUCCCAAGAGACAGCACAUCUAGGCACGCAGAGGCUGAACGUCACAGAGGCACAGGCUCCCACAUUCUUGCACCUGACUUAGAGGUACACAGAGGAACACACACACAGGUCCACAGCUCACAGAGGUAUGCAUACACGCACGUGCACACGCACACAUACACCCACCCAGAGGUGACAGAGGUAUACAUAUAUACGCUUACCCCACACACACGUGUAAAUACACCUACAGAGGUCACAAGUGCAUGGUUUUCUAGAGAGGGUAAGGCAGGUUUUCUAGUACACAGUGGAAUCUUUUCAUCUACCCAGCUGCUGCCCUUCAACUGCUAGGGGGAGCAGCCCCAUCUGGCCAAUGAACUCCCUCGGCAAUUCAUUUAUGUGAAACAGAUUCCAGGAGGCCAUCUAAAGGCCCCACCAGUCUGCGGGCCCACACACCACACUUUGAUAGUGUGAACGGCACGUGAACGGCUGUAAGCUGAGAACCACUCCCAACUAGGAGCCUGAGAGCCAUCCACCUGCCGAGCAAAGCCAUCCACCUCCCCCGCAACAUUCAACC